AUGGCUCAUGUUCCCCCAAGUGAAGAUUCACGUCCACGCCGACAAGUGCGCCAACCAAGAUGGAUGGAAGAUUAUGAAGGGUACACACACCCACAGGCUGGGAGCUAUCCACUACGCACCUCUGCUGCAAUAGAGGAGACCGACUGGAGCAGAAGCAGAGAGGGAUUUGUCGAGAUGACACCCCUCACCCAGCAUCCACUACAGCCCACUCAUUAUCCUGCUGAGUUCAUAGAGACAUCUUCCAGUCACAUUGGAGCCACAGCACCGGUGUAUGUGAGUACGUCACGGUCAUAUGAGGGCCCACCUGUAAUGAUGAAUAUGUUGCAGCAAAUACAAGAGGAUAAUAGGAGAUUGCAGCUGAUGGUGAGAGAUAUGAGACGUCAGAUGGACAGGAGCAGUGCAGCACCUCCCAGUUUACAGCCUGCACAGCUGGACCAUCCACAAGAGAGUCACCCCCCUGUAAUAAGAGAGGGCACCAGGGCCCCAACGGCACCACCCCCUAUGCUGCAUCCAACACCUGGAACACGUCAUCCACAACCAGGAGACCAGGCCAGCCGGCCAAUGCCACCACCCCACCUACCAGCCCAACCACCGCCUCCACCAAGGGAGCUGCACCACCUGCCUGCAGUACAGGACAGGUAUUUAGCAGACGAUGAUUGGCCGCCGCCUCCCCCACCAGUAGCCUUCUCUGAUGACAAUUAUGAGCAACCUACUGAUAUUGUAGAGAACCUUAGAGAACGUCUGCAGCAGCUGGAAGCACGACUGUCACCAGCUCCAUCCAUGAUGUCCGAACCACCAUAUGAUAGUGUGCUGCCGUCAGUUGCACCCCCACAACCCCCCCAACGGCUAACCUCAGUGACACUGCCUAACAGUAAUGAGAGGACAUACAGGGGACCGACACCAUCAAUCCCAAAGUUCACACGUGGUGACCCCAGAGAGUUCUCCAGACUGAAGCUUGCCCUUGACAAUAUUCUUCCCGCUGAUGCGACAGAGAUGUUCAAGUAUCAAGUGCUCUGUGAUCACCUCAAGUUUGAAGAGGCUCUCCUGAUAGCUGAUUCCUAUAGCAAUUCCUUAUUCCCCUGCUCUGACACUAUGGCUUCCUUGACCAAACACUACGGUCAGCCCCACCAGUUAUCUCUACGGCGGAUUGCAGAACUCAUGGAGGAGCCCACUAUCCGAGCUGGCGACACUGUAGCAUUCAGGAGGUUUGCUCUGAGAGUUCGAGCUCUGGUCGGGAUGUUGGAGCAGCUAGGUGAAGACGGGCGUAUAGAGUUAAAGUGUGGGUCUCACGUGGCCAGAUUAAUGAAGAAGCUUCCCCAGGAUCUCCGUGCCACCUUCCGGCGUCACCUUCACUCUUGGAAAGCAGGAAUCCCAUCAUUGAUGGACUUUGCGGAGUGGCUGGACUAUGAGCUGGAAAUCCAAGAGGACGGAGAUCAGUUCGACAAGAUAGAGGAUGUCCAGAAAGGGAGAAGCGGGGUGAGGAAGGAGUGUGAUAAGGAUAAGAGAGCCACUAAGAAGACCAUGAAUGUGUUGCAUGGUACUGCCAAUAACACAACCCCCCAAGCAGGGCAAGCUGAAGUCUCAGAUCACCAAGAGACCAUGGAUAAGCUCAAAGCUUAUUGCCCCUACUGCAGCAAUACGCAACACUUCCUGGACCAGUGCUUGAACUUCAAGCAAUUAACCAAGGAGCAGAAGAUGACCUGGGUGAAGUCCAAUAAUCGCUGCUGGCGUUGUGGACGGCACCAUCAGGCCGCCCAGUGUAGAUUGAGAGUCCUAUGCAAGACGUGCAAGGGGAAGCACCUUGAGGCCUUGCAUGAAGUGAAUCUCCGGCCUGGCAAGAGUGAGCAUACUGCAGGGAACGGCACUAGUGCAGAGUUGAAGUCAGCGACAGAUGUUUUGUAUCUGGAUCGACGUGCCGGCUGCAAUCAGGUCCUUUUGAAGGUCAGCAAGGUGCUACUACGUAACGGUGACCACACCCUGGAGACAUAUGCAAUCUUAGAUGAUGGCUCAGAGAGAACAAUUCUACUCCAGGAGGCCGUCCAGAGGCUGCAGCUUCAGGGGACUCCCGAGAGCCUCACCCUGAGAACUGUUCGUCAAGAUGCGAGAACACUACAUGGCUCAUCAGUAAUGUUCAAAAUCUCUCCGACCGGUCAGCCAACAAAGACAUUUACUAUUGAGAGAGCCUUCACUGCAGGUGGACUAGGUCUAGCUGAACACUCUUACCCAGUGAAGGGACUUCAGCGCAGAUAUAAGCACCUCAAGAAGCUCCCCCUGCAGCCAUUCACAAAUGUUCACCCACUCCUCUUGAUAGGUUCCGACUGUCCGCACCUUGUGACACCUAUUGAACCUGUCCGUCUCGGCCCGUCGGGGAGCCCAGCUGCGGUAAAGACCAGGCUUGGCUGGACACUGCAAGGGCCAGUCAAGUCUUUUCAACAAUGCAACCGCCCACAGCAGUGUCUAUUCGUGACCUCUACCUCCCCUACAGCUGAACUCUUUAAUCAGGUAGAAAAGCUCUGGCAACUGGACACCCUGCCAUACAGAAACGAGAAGCUGGUGACGAGGUCACGGAGAGACCAAGAGGCCAUGAACCUUCUAGAGGCAAAGACUAGGAGAGUGGAGGUGGAUGGAGUCCUCAGAUACGCUACCCCACUGUUACGGGUGAGUAACAUGCCUAUACUCACAGCGCCGCCUGAAGCGGUGCUCCCCAGUCUACGCAGCACGGAGAAGCGUCUCGGCAGAGACCCGGUGAAGGCACAGGCAUAUCAGGCGGAGAUUAUGAAGUUGGAGAAGUCAGGCUAUGCUUCCAGAAUUAGUCAGGAGCAGGUGAAGGAUUCCAAGGAGUCGUGGUUUAUUCCCCAUCACCUGGUGACACACAACGGAAAAAACCGAAUCGUGUUCAACUGUUCUUACACCUAUAGGGAUAAGAACCUCAACGAGCUGCUGCUGCCAGGCCCAAACCUGGGUGCAUCUCUCCUGGGUGUCCUACUGCGGUUUAGGGAACAUUCAAUUGCUGUCAGCAGUGACAUAAAGGGAAUGUUCCACCAGGUGAGGUUGCUGCCUGAAGAUCGCCCUCUGUUGCGCUUCCUCUGGCGUGAUCUACAGAGAGACUCCCAACCUAGUGUAUAUGAGUGGCAGGUCCUUCCCUUCGGGACUACUUGUUCCCCAUGCUGUGCCAUAUACGCAUUACAGAGGCAUGUACACGAUCACACCCACACAGGGGAUACAGUUCGUGAGUCUAUCGAGAACCACUUCUAUGUGGACAACUGGCUACAGAGCUUCCCAACUCCAGACAUGGCCAAAGAUGUCACAGACAAGCUGAGGGGGCUGUUAAUGGAGGGUGGCUUCGAACUGCGACAGUGGGCCAGCAACAUGCCAAAUGUUAUUGGCCACCUGCCCAAGGAGAUCAGGUCAGAGAGUAGUGAACAGUUGCUAAAUCACACAAACAUGGACCCACAAGAACCUGCCCUGGGGCUGCGUUGGUUAUGCCACUCGGAUACGCUGCAGUAUAAGUCACGGCCGAUGGAGCGCCUCCCGCCCACCAUGAGGAACAUCUAUAAGGUAUUGGCCAGCCAAUAUGACCCCAUAGGAUUUCUCAUGCCCUAUACUACAAGGGCCAAAGUGCUUGUUCAGCAGUUAUGGGACAAAAAGCGGGAGUGGGACGAUCCUCUGCUACCCGGUGAAUUGCUCACGGCGUGGCAAGACUGGGAAAACGAACUACAAUAUCUGGACAACAUCAGACUGCCUCGCUGCUACGUGAGUCCAGCCAUGGACAAUGCAGCCAGUAAGCGGGAGGUCCACAUCUUCUGUGAUGCGUCUCAACGUGCGUAUGGUAGUGUGGGAUAUCUCCGCACAGAAGACACAGAGGGUAAUGUGGAGGUAGCAUUCCUGACAGCCCGGUCCAGAGUGGCCCCUAAGCGUCAGCUCUCCAUGCCGCGGUUGGAGCUGUGUGCUGCGCUCACGGGCGCACAGCUUGCAGACGUGCUUACUCGAGAGCUCACAGUGGCGAUAUCGAGAGUGGUUAUGUGGACAGACUCCACAACUGUUCUUGCCUGGAUCCAAUCGGACUCUUGUCGCUUUAAGGUGUUUGCAGGAACCCGUAUUGCAGAAAUUCAAGAGCUGACUGAUAGCCAGGCCUGGCGCUAUGUGGAGACGUCAGAGAACCCAGCAGAUGACCUCACCCGGGGAAAAUCCCUGCAGGAUCUCUCAGGUGAAAAUCGUUGGAUCCAUGGACCCCUGUUCCUGCAGCUACCACCCAACAAGUGGCCAGUGCAUCCAGCCCCAACAAGCGAAGACAUCACUGAGGAGCUGCGAAGGCCCACCACCUGCCUGGUUAGCACGGUAAAUGGCACCCACCAUUCCUUACCUGAUGCUCAGCAGUUUAGCACCUUCAGUGACCUGGUGAAGGCGACUGCGGGGUACCUUCAUGGGGCGGCUGCUGAUGCUAAAGGGACUCCUACAGCAGAGGAAUUCAAGGAAGCGGAACUCAGCAUCCUGCGGUCCGCACAAAGAGAUAGCUUCUCAGAAGAAGUUCAGUGUCUGGCAGCUGGAAAACAAGUCCCUUCCUCCAGCUGCUUAAUCACGCUGGCUCCAGAAUAUGAUGCAUCAUUCCAACUGAUACGAGUAGGAGGUCGGCUGCGGCGUUGCCAGGAUCUGGAGGACGAUGUGAUCCACCCUAUAGUCCUCGACCCAAGACAUGCUGUGACCAAGCUGCUCAUCCGACAGGUUGACCAAGACCUGAAACACCCUGGUGCAGAGCGACUCUUUGCAGAGCUGAGGAGGAAGUUCUGGAUCCUUCGUGGCCGGGAGGCCAUAAGAAGAGAGCAGCGCUCAUGCUCGGAGUGUCAGAGGUGGAGAGCCCAACCUGUCAACCCUAAGAUGGCAGACUUGCCCCCUGCACGGCUCAGGUUACAUCAACCAGCCUUCUACUCUACGGGGAUUGAUUGUUUUGGUCCAAUGCAGGUAAAAAUCGGCCGACGGAACGAGAAACGCUGGGGCUUGCUCUUCAAAUGCCUCACGACGCGAGCAGUCCAUAUUGAAGUGCUGUCCAGCAUCAACACGGACUCCUUCCUGAUGGCCUUAAGGAGGUUCAUAUCCCGUCGUGGGAAACCAGCAGAGUUGCUCUCGGACCAGGGCACCAAUUUUAGAGGUGGAGAUAGGGAAUUACAAGAAGCCUUUCAAACCCUUCAUCCUUCUCUCCAAGCCCAGCUGGCAGAGUACCAUAUAAAGUUUUGUUUCAACCCGCCUAGUGCCCCCCAUUUUGGAGGCUCCUGGGAGCGGGAAAUCAGGUCGAUCAAGGCUGCUCUGACUGCUACCCUGGGGUCACAGGUUGUCAGUGGUGAAGUUCUGACCACUGUCCUGAUUGAGAUUGAGGGUAUCCUCAAUUCCAAGCCCCUCGGCUAUGUAUCAUCCGACGUGGCAGACCCGGACCCGGUCACCCCCAAUCUGUUGCUGAUGGGGCGGCCAGACCCUUCGCUACCUCAGGCAGUGUAUCAUGACUCAGAGCUGCUCAGCCGUCGCCAGUGGAGGGCCUGUCAAGUGCUGUCCGAUCGCUUCUGGGUGCGGUUCCUGCGCCACUACCUGCCCACACUGCAAACCCGAUCCAAGUGGCAGUCGGACACCUCCCCUCUUCAGCUGGAUACCAUCGUGAUGAUCGUCGAUCCUCAACUGCCACGAGCAUCAUGGCCUAUUGGAAAGAUCAAGAAGGUGUUCCCUGGAGCCGAUGGACUGAUUCGCACAGCGGAGGUCACAGUACGGGACCGCACCUAUGUCCGACCUGUAAGCCGUCUUAUCAGACUCCCUGCUGUACCAGAAGAAAAUUGA
RNAcentral lists this long non-coding RNA (5820 nucleotides) under Sparus aurata (gilthead seabream). RNAcentral describes it as "lncRNA (ENSSAUG00010005059.1)". Lineage: Eukaryota; Metazoa; Chordata; Actinopteri; Spariformes; Sparidae. The record is from RNAcentral.